UCAAGAGAACGUGAAAUCGUUGAAGUGGAACCGGAGAGAGUUGACGUAGUAUGGUGGAUAAGUAUUGCAAGAAUCGCUUCAAACCAUGAAUGUGAUCGAGUAAUAUGUACGUCACCAAAGACUGCGCUGACAGCAUCGACUACACGCUCUGAACUGUGUUGACAUGUUGCCUAUUCUAGUAUAUAGAAUGGUGUCUUGUGUUACGUGGUGAAGUUUGUUGUUAUGUUGUUGAUGUUGAUAAKUAUGAUUAUACAUCGAGUAUAAUUAUGUCAGUGUAAAAGUCAACCACCUCUCCGACCCGUCUUGAAACACGGACCGAGGAGUGUAACUUGUACGCGAGUCAUUGGGUGGAAAAACCUUAAGGCGAAACGAAAGUGAAGGCACGGUUAACCGGCUGACAUGGGAAACGUGCGGUAUUGUUAGCGAGACGUUACACCAUGGCCCUGUCUUGUCUGCAUGCAGAUGGGCAGCGGUAGAGCGUACAGGUUGCGACCCGAAAGAUGGUGAACUAUGCCUGAGCAGGACGAAGUCAGAGGAAACUCUGGUGGAAGUCCGUAUCGGUUCUGACGUGCAAAUCGAUCGAUAGACUUGG
Molecule: ribosomal RNA, 592 nt
Filed under: Crenosoma striatum
Lineage: Eukaryota; Metazoa; Nematoda; Chromadorea; Rhabditida; Crenosomatidae
Description: eukaryotic LSU rRNA
Rfam family: Eukaryotic large subunit ribosomal RNA
Source: RNAcentral